Molecule: ribosomal RNA, 506 nt
Filed under: uncultured bacterium
Lineage: Bacteria
Description: partial 16S ribosomal RNA
Rfam family: Bacterial small subunit ribosomal RNA
Source: RNAcentral
AUUGAACGCUGGCGGCAGGCCUAACACAUGCAAGUCGAACGGUAACAGGAAGCAGCUUGCUGCUUCGCUGACGAGUGGCGGACGGGUGAGUAAUGUCUGGGAAACUGCCUGAUGGAGGGGGAUAACAACUGGAAACGGUAGCUGAUACCGCAUAAUGUCGCAAGACCAAAGAGGGGGACCUUCGGGCCUCUUGCCAUCGGAUGUGCCCGGAUGGGAUUAGCGUGUUGGUGGGGUAACGGCUCACCAAGGCGACGAUCCCUAGCUGGUCUGAGAGGAUGACCAGCCACACUGGAACUGAGACACGGUCCAGACUCCUACGGGAGGCAGCAGUGGGGAAUAUUGCACAAUGGGCGCAAGCCUGAUGCAGCCAUGCCGCGUGUAUGAAGAAGGCCUUCGGGUUGUAAAGUACUUUCAGCGGGGAGGAAGGGAGUAAAGUUAAUACCUUUGCUCAUUGACGUUACCCGCAGAAGAAGCACCGGCUAACUCCGUGCCAGCCGCCGCGGUAA